GAGGGAAGUUAGUACCGAAGUCCAAGAUGGAAGAUGGCGAGAAAAGCUGUGUGUAUUUCUGCGGUGCCCGUACCGCAAACCGACACAGGUAGGUAGGAAGAAGAUUCUAAGGCCAACGGGAGAAGGGUUGUUAAGGAACUCGGCAAAUUGACCCCGUAACUUCGGGAGAAGGGGUGCUGCAGCAAUGCAGCCGCAGAGAAUCGGCCCAAGCAACUGUUUACCAAAAACACAGGUUUGUGCUAAAUCGAAAGAUGACGUAUACGAGCUGACGCCUGCCCGGUGCUGGAAGGUUAAGAGGAGAUGUGCAAGCAUUGAAUCGAAGCCCCAGUGAACGGCGGCCGUAACUAUAACGGUCCUAAGGUAGCGAAAUUCCUUGUCAGGUAAGUUCUGACCCGCAUGAAAGGCGUAAUGAUUUGGGCACUGUCUCAACAGCCCGCCCGGCGAAAUUGUAGUACCGGUGAGGAUGCCGGUUACCCGCGACAAGACGGAAAGACCCCAUGGAGCUUUACUGUAGCCUAAUAUUGGGUUUCGAUGUUGCAUGCACAGGAUAGAUGGGACACUGGGAAGCAGGUGCUUUGGCGCUUGUGGAGUGGCCGUUGGGAUACCAUCCUUGCGAUAUUGGAAUUCUAACCUGCGCCUUUGAAUCAAGGCGGGGGACAUUGUUAGGUGGGCAGUUUGACUGGGGCGGUCGCCUCCUAAAGAGUAACGGAGGCGUUCAAAGGUUCGCUCAGCUUGAACGGAAAUCAAGCAAAAGAGUGCAAACGCAGAAGCGAGCCUAACUGCGAGACUGACGGGUCGAGCAGUAACGAAAGUUGGAGUUAGUGAUCCGGUGGUAUGUGAGUGGAAAUGCCAUCGCUCAACGGAUAAAAGUUACCCUGGGGAUAACAGGCUGAUCUCCCCCAAGAGCCCACAUCGACGGGGAGGUUUGGCACCUCGAUGUCGGCUCAUCGCAUCCUGGGGCUGUAUUCGGUCCCAAGGGUUUGGCUGUUCGCCAAUUAAAGCGGUACGCGAGCUGGGUUCAGAACGUCGUGAGACAGUUCGGUCCCUAUCUGUCGUGGGCGCAGGAUAUUUGAUGGGAGCUGUUCCUAGUACGAGAGGACCGGAGCGGACGUACCUCUGGCGCACCAGUUGUUCUGCCAAGAGCAUAGCUGGGCAACUAUGUACGGAUCGGAUAAACGCUGAAAGCAUCUAAGCGUGAAGCCGACCCAAAGAUAAGAUAUCCCAUUGUUUCAAACAAGUAAGACCCCUUGAAGACUACAAGGUUGAUAGGCACGAUGUGUAAGUGGAGCGAUCCAUUCAGCAAGCGUGUACUAAUAGGUCGAGGGCUUGACC
Molecule: ribosomal RNA, 1332 nt
Filed under: metagenome
Description: bacterial LSU rRNA
Rfam family: Bacterial large subunit ribosomal RNA
Source: RNAcentral